CCCGCGUCCCAUCAGCUAGUUGGUAGGGUAAUGGCCUACCAAGGCUACGACGGGUAGCUGGUCUAAGAGGAUGGCCAGCCACACUGGAACUGAGACACGGUCCAGACUCCUACGGGAGGCAGCAGUGGGGAAUCUUGCGCAAUGGGCGAAAGCCUGACGCAGCGACGCCGCGUGGGUGACGAAGGCCUUCGGGUUGUAAAGCCCUGUGGGGUAGAACGAACUGGCAUCGGGCUAAUAUCCCGGUGUCUUGACGGUACUGCCUUAGCAAGCAUCGGCUAACUCUGUGCCAGCAGCCGCGGUAAGACAGAGGAUGCGAACGUUGCUCGGAUUUACUGGGCGUAAAGCGCGUGUAGGCGGUCUCGUUAGUCGGGUGUGAAAGCCCCGGGCUCAACCCGGGAAGUGCACCCGAUACUGCGAGACUGGGGUACUGAAGAGGAGAGCGGAAUUCCCGGUGUAGAGGUGAAAUUCGUAGAUAUCGGGAGGAACACCAGUGGCGAAGGCA
This 502-nucleotide ribosomal RNA is filed under the name uncultured bacterium. RNAcentral describes it as "bacterial SSU rRNA". It matches the Rfam family "Bacterial small subunit ribosomal RNA", at positions 230 to 723 of the family's 1533-position model. The record is from RNAcentral.